This 80-nucleotide ribosomal RNA is filed under the name Mycobacterium senriense. Lineage: Bacteria; Bacillati; Actinomycetota; Actinomycetes; Mycobacteriales; Mycobacteriaceae. The record is from RNAcentral.
GGCGGCCACAGCGACAGGGAAACGCCCGGUCCCAUUCCGAACCCGGAAGCUAAGCCUGUCAGCGCCGAUGAUACUGCCCU